Molecule: non-coding RNA, 81 nt
Organism: Rhincodon typus (whale shark)
Lineage: Eukaryota; Metazoa; Chordata; Chondrichthyes; Orectolobiformes; Rhincodontidae
Source: the annotation of a RefSeq genome assembly
GUAGUCGUGGCCGAGUGGUUAAGGCGAUGGAUUUAAAAUCCAUUGGAGUUUCCCGCGCAGGUUCGAAUCCUGCCGACUGCA